AGUUAGUAAAAAAUGCGAAAGAACUAACAACGACUCCCUAGUACGGCGAGUGACGCGGGUCGAGCUCACAUUUAAAUCCGGCAGGUUAGCUUGUCCGAAUUGCAUCUCGACAAGUGUUUUCCGCGUUGGCCUGUGCACGGUCCCUUGGUACAGGGCGUCAUAGCGGGUGAUACUCCCGCCCUUGACUCACACCCCCAAUGCUUUGUGAUACACUCUCAGGAUGGACUGGCCCCCGAAUGAAGCCCUAAAAGGGUGGUAAAUUCCUCUCCGCCAAAAUACUGCCGGCAGAACGAUCUCGACGCACUACUGUGAUGGAAAUAUGAAAAGCUUUUUUUAAAGAGAAUCAUAUUUUACGUGAAAGUGUUGAAAGGGAAACGAUUGAAGUCAGUCGUGCCCUGCCUAGCAUCAGCCUCCUGGUGUAUUUUCUCCGCCGGUAGGGCAGCAUCAGUUUGGGGGGGUUAACAAGGGACCUGGCAAUGUGGCAACCUCGGCUGUGCUAUAGCCCGGUUUCUUAUUGAUCUCCCUGGACUGAGGAACGCAGUGCGCCCGCAAAGCUUGUGUCUUCGGACUCAUUCACUACUUCUGAUGCUGGCAUAAUGGCUUUAAACGACCGCCACUUGGGACACGGACCUAGGACGUCUAUCAUGUUUGCGAGUCUUUGGGUGUCAAAACCCACGGGCGUACUUAAUGUAAAUGCAGGUCGGAUACGCAAGCAUCAACAUCUACCGAUCUGGAUCAUUUAUGUGAUGGAUUUGACUAAAAGCACAUAUGUUGGGACCCGAAAGAUGGUGAACUAUGCCUGAAUAGGGCGACUCCAAGGAAACUCUGGUGGAGGCUCGUAGCCAUUCUGACGUGCAAUCAAUCGUCAAUUUGGGUAUAGGGCGUAAAGACUAUCGAACCAUCUUAGUACUGGGUCCUGCCGAGUU
Molecule: ribosomal RNA, 926 nt
Filed under: Basidiomycota sp.
Lineage: Eukaryota; Fungi; Basidiomycota
Description: partial large subunit ribosomal RNA
Rfam family: Eukaryotic large subunit ribosomal RNA
Source: RNAcentral